ACGCCACUGCACUCCAGCCCAAUGACAGUGCAAAGUUCCAUCUCUGAAAAACAAAACAAGACAAAACCUGAUCGGUUUGUAACUUUCUGCUCAACGCCAGUAGUGUAUGAUUCGAGUUAAUUAGCUAACAUGUUCAUGUGGAAUCUUCUUUUCAAACAAAUUCAGGUUGCAGGCCAUUAUGAUUUGUCUCCUCAGGAAUGGCAGCCAUUCCCUCCAGUAAGUUUUUAAGUAAUGGUCAGUAAGAUAUUGAGAGACAAAGGGCAAGAGCCUCAGGCUGCUGUGUUGAGACCAUUCUGUGGAAGGAAAGAACAGAGGAAGGAGGAGGCUCCUGAGAUCAUCCAGGCUUUGACCAGGGUGAUUCUGUGGAGGGGUUGAGAAGUAACUGAAUGCAUUUUGAAGUCGAUACUCCCACCCAAAGUGCCUAAUUUCCAAGUGAUAGAAUGCAUUGCAGAAGAAUCUUUUCCAAAAGCCAACAAGACAGUGAAGAAUUAUGGCGUCAAGAGCAAGAAGAAGAUGGAAGUCCAUGGAGGGAAGCCUGGUAUGUAGGUUCACUUGUCUCCUAAAGGUGACUGCUGAUUUUGAAAGCUGUGGCUUAAAGGAUGGAAACUUAAAAGAGCUGGACAGACUGAUGGAGCUGGGGGACAAAAACUGGGAGGUCAAUGAUUGUUACAGAGUAGGGAUCAUGGUAAAUAUCUCAGGCAGGCAAUUUGGAUCCAGAGGAGCUAUACCUAAGGAUAAUACUGAAUUGGAAGUAUAUCAAUUCUAACAGGAACUGAAACUCAAGCUCAGAUGAUCUCCAAUUGCUGAUUGGAUUAAGGUGUUUUGAGGUUACUUCCUGCCUCUAACAUAGCUGCCUACCAAAAAUGUGUGUAUAUUUUCUCUAGAGGAACAAAGCAUCAUACAGAGUCUUGUGGCAAUUUUCACAUGCAAUAUCUGGCAAUAGAAAACAACCAGGCAGUCCAGGCAUGGUGGUUCACACCUGUAAUCCUAGC
Sapajus apella (tufted capuchin) is the source of this 992-nucleotide long non-coding RNA. RefSeq lists it as uncharacterized. The record is from RefSeq and is a predicted model, not a curated record. Lineage: Eukaryota; Metazoa; Chordata; Mammalia; Primates; Cebidae. The transcript has 3 exons.